GACGAACGCUGGCGGCGUGCUUAACACAUGCAAGUCGAACGGAAAGGCCCUGCUUUGGUGGGGUGCUCGAGUUGCGAACGGGUGAGUAACACUUGAGUAACCUGCCCUUGACUUUGGGAUAACUUCAUGAAACUGGGGCUAAUACCGGAUAGGAGCUCCUGCUGCAUGGUGGGGGUUGGAAAGUUUCGGCGGUUGGGGGUGGACUCGCGGCUUAUCAGCUUGUUGGUGGGGUAGUGGCUUACCAAGGCUUUGACGGGUAGCCGGCCUGAGAGGGUGACCGGCCAGAUUGGGACUGAGAUACGGACGAGACUCCUACGGGAGGGAGGAGUGGGGAAUAUUGCACAAUGGGCGGGAGCCAGCUGCAGCCACGAAGCGUGCGGGAUGAAGGAAUUCGGGUUGUAAACCGAUUUCGCCUGUGACGAAGCGUGAGGGAAGGUAAUGGGUAAAGAAGCACCGGCUAACUAGGU
RNAcentral lists this ribosomal RNA (467 nucleotides) under uncultured bacterium. RNAcentral's name for it is "partial 16S ribosomal RNA". It matches the Rfam family "Bacterial small subunit ribosomal RNA", at positions 28 to 506 of the family's 1533-position model. The record is from RNAcentral.